GAACAUAAUUAUAAUUUAAUGAAAGAGCAACAGAAUCUUGAUCCUGUAAAAAUACAAAAAAUACAUCACAAUGCAGAAAAAAUUAUAUAGAUGAUCCUGAAACAUGCAGAAUCAAAGAAGCAGAAAAUCUUGAUUCCAUGGAAAUAUGUGACAACAUUGAACAAGUUUCCCAGACGAGUACACCACGUACUUCAAGAAUUAAAAAUCAAGGAAUAAUUGUUUCGCCAUAUCUAUAAGAAAACACGCCACGGAAACAAUCGUUGAGAACUGCGUUGGUGUAUACGAGAAAAGAAUUUCAGAAAAAAAUUAAAAUGUUACAACAAAAGCAACGACGAACCAUUAAGUGUGUUGCAAAAUUGAAAAAUGUAUUGACAUGUUUGAAAAAAAAAAAUCUUCUUAAUGCAGAACAGCUGGAUGUCUUAAAAGAUUUAGACUUAUUUCUCUCAUCCGAUAACGGACAGAAAAGUUACUGUAUUUCUCGACCCAUGCCAUUGUGUGAAACUAUUACGUAAUUGUAUUGGAGAACAUAAAUCAAUAAUUGAUGACAAUGGUGAUAUGAUCCAAUGGGAACAUUUUACGAAGCUUAAUGACAUUCAAGUUAAGGAAAGUCUACACUUGGGUAAUAAAUUAAGAACGCGUCAUAUACAAUACCAUAAACAAAAAAUGAAAGUAAAACUCACAGUGCAAAUCUUCAGUAAUUCUGUAGCUGAUGCAUUAGAAAUUUGUAAAAAUGAUUUACGAUAUACAGAUUUUGCAAAUUCGGCCCCAACGAUAAGAUUCAUACGAAUAAUAAAUGAUCUUUUUGAUAUCUUAAAUUCGAGGAACAUGAAACAGAUAGGGUUCAAACAACCGUUAAAUAAAAACAAUAGUUCUAUAAUUUUGGAAAAAUUAAAAGAAGGCUAUAAUUUCCUAUCACAAUUACGAAAGACAGAUGGUCAAUUGUUGAUUUAUCCUAAAAAUAAAUGUGCAUUCCUCGGUUUUAUGAUAUGUAUCAAAAGUAUAACAAUACUUUAUAAAGAUUUAGUUGUUAGUCAAGACGUAUUAAAAUAUAUAUCAGGUUAUAAAUUUAACCAAGAUCACGUUGAAUUGUUAUUCAGCUCUAUACGAGCUCAUGGAGGUUCUAACAAUAACCCGACGGCUCGGUAAUUUAAAGCCGCUUAUAAAAAAAUUCUUGUCCAUACAGAGAUCACAGAGACAGCAACUGGUAAUUGCAUCCCGCUAGAAAUAAUUUCAAUACUACAUGUUUCUGCGAAUUCUGCAACUAUAAUAAAUCAGUCAACUCCGAAAUCUCGAGUAAUAGAUGAUAGCAAUCAUGAAGAUAGGAACGAAAAUUUACCUCUUUUGCUUGAUACAAUAACGCUUUCAGAAUUUACAACGAGAGUUAUAGCUUAUAUUGCAGGUUUUGUUGUAAGACAUUUAGAAAAAAUUCUACAUUGUGAAACUUGUAUCGAAGCUCUUACUGGCAACGA
This is an RNA transcript of Harpegnathos saltator (Jerdon's jumping ant), 1469 nucleotides long. RefSeq lists it as uncharacterized. The record is from RefSeq and is a predicted model, not a curated record. NCBI's taxonomy places the organism in Eukaryota, Metazoa, Arthropoda, Insecta, Hymenoptera, Formicidae. The transcript is spliced from 4 exons.